This 606-nucleotide ribosomal RNA is filed under the name uncultured bacterium. Its description in RNAcentral is "bacterial SSU rRNA". It matches the Rfam family "Bacterial small subunit ribosomal RNA", at positions 1 to 610 of the family's 1533-position model. The record is from RNAcentral.
UAGAGUUUGAUCCUGGCUCAGAUUGAACGCUGGCGGAAUGCUUUACACAUGCAAGUCGAACGGCAGCACGGGAGCUUGCUCCUGGUGGCGAGUGGCGAACGGGUGAGUAACAUAUCGGAACGUACCUAGUAAUGGGGGAUAACUAGUCGAAAGAUUAGCUAAUACCGCAUACGCCCUGAGGGGGAAAGCGGGGGAUCGUAAGACCUCGCGUUAUUAGAGCGGCCGAUAUCUGAUUAGCUAGUUGGUGGGGUAAAAGCCUACCAAGGCGACGAUCAGUAGCUGGUCUGAGAGGAUGAUCAGCCACACUGGAACUGAGACACGGUCCAGACUCCUACGGGAGGCAGCAGUGGGGAAUUUUGGACAAUGGGCGCAAGCCUGAUCCAGCCAUUCCGCGUGAGUGAAGAAGACCUUCGGGUUGUAAAGCUCUUUCGCAAGGGAAGAAAACUUACCUUUUAAUAGAGGGUGAGGUUGACGGUACCUUGAUAAGAAGCACCGGCUAACUACGUGCCAGCAGCCGCGGUAAUACGUAGGGUGCGAGCGUUAAUCGAAUUACUGGCGUAAAGCGUGCGCAGCGGUUUGUAAGUCAGAUGUGAAAGCCCGGCUCAC